UACGGGGGGAGCAAGCGUUGUUCGGAUUUACUGGGCGUAAAGGGCGCGUAGGCGGCCACCGCAAGUCGGUUGUGAAAUCUCUGGGCUUAACCCAGAAAGGUCAACCGAUACUGCGGGGCUAGAGUGCAGAAGGGGCAACUGGAAUUCUCGGUGUAGCGGUGAAAUGCGUAGAUAUCGAGAGGAACACCUGCGGCGAAGGCGGGUUGCUGGGCUGACACUGACGCUGAAGCGCGAAGGCCAGGGGAGCAAACGGG
RNAcentral lists this ribosomal RNA (254 nucleotides) under uncultured bacterium. Its description in RNAcentral is "partial 16S ribosomal RNA". It matches the Rfam family "Bacterial small subunit ribosomal RNA", at positions 524 to 776 of the family's 1533-position model. The record is from RNAcentral.